CUGAUGCCUUAUUUUACACCAAGAAGAAACAAACACUGUGCACCUGCUUCUGUAAUCCUUAUGUAAGUGAAGGAAGUGCUGUGCUUUAGACUUUAUUGUGGUUUCUUUGGCUUCUAUCUGCCCCCAAAGAAAACAAAUACACACACAGCUGUUACAGCACUUGCUUUCUGCUCCAGAAAAGGGUAAGUGUGGAAUAGAAAUAUUGGGUGCCUUCAGACAUUGCCUAAUAACUAAAAAGUGUCAAGCAGCAGGACUCUCCUAGUUCCCAGUAAGGAGGCACUAAUUCAUUAUAAAAGCAACCCUGCACCUGCAGUGAUAGCUGUUUUAUGCUCAUCUGUGUACUGGAGGCUGUCCUUGCAUAACUGUGAGUCUGAGGCUAAGGAAAUAACAUCACCACUGUGAGCCUGGAGAAAGAAUGCACAAUGGUGAUUCCAAAACCAAAGGAGACAGAUUUUCAGUCCCACUGGGAUAGACCAGUUUCCAAGGCUUGGUCCCAUCAAAGCUAGAAGUGCCUUCAGUUCAGCGGUGGAGCAGAUGAUGCUCAAAAGAACAAAUCAGGAAAGAGGAAAGAAUAAAAGGCCAUUUGUGGUACAUCUGAAUCAGCCUGGUGAAUAAGAUUUGGGUUCCUCAAGACAGAGAAGGAGACUGUCCCAACGCGUCCCGCAGCCCACCCUGCCUCGAAACUCCCUGCGGUGAUGUCGGGGCUAGAGGAAUCCAGGGCUUGGUCCCUGCAGCUGAGGCCUACGGGAUAUCCCAGGAAAGAGCAGCCUCUCCGUAGUGGUGAAGAGUCUCUCAAGCCUUAGCGCUCUGGUGACCUCCGCGGGAUUCUGAGAAAAGCACUGCGGAACGGCGGGAGCGGGCCCUGCUGCUUGCUUCGCGCCCCCCACCCGCCCGGGGACCGCGACUAAGUCCCCGACGCAGCUCUUCCCUUUUCCUGAAUACCCUGGGACUCUGCUCCCGAGUUCCAGCUCCGAGGACUCAAAGACAGUCUCCGUUCCUCACUCUUCAAAGACCACCUCCUUUUCUAGAGGUGGGCUCCCCGACCUUGCGCUUCUAGAGCUGCAGGAGCGGCGCUGCACAGGUCUGACAAGCCCAGCUCAUUGGCGGGUAUCUGAGCCAUCAGUCUGAAAGACAUUUGGGGAAAAUUCAUAGAACAUAGAAAUUCAUAUUAUACAUAUUCAUAUUAUACAUUCAUAUUAUACAUUGUGUAUAUUAUAUAAUAUAUAUAUAGUCCAUAAAUUAGUAAAUGUGUGCGGUGUUUUUCUUGAAACCGUUAGCAUCCUAGUUGGUAUUGGUGGUACUGGUUGAUAUUAACACGAAUGACAAGUGGGUGAUUUUCAAGAAGCGCCCGGUCCCUCUAGAGAAUGCGUCCGAAUAUCAGCGGAGCCG
Molecule: long non-coding RNA, 1389 nt
Filed under: Homo sapiens (human)
Lineage: Eukaryota; Metazoa; Chordata; Mammalia; Primates; Hominidae
Description: HSALNT0017360
Source: RNAcentral